GCAGGGUUAAUAGUCCAGGGUUAAUAUUCCAGGGUUAAUCAUCCAGGGUUAAUAGUUCCAGGGUUAAUAGUCCAGGGUUAAUAGUUCCAGAGUUAAUAGUUCCAGGGUUAAUAGAGCAGGGUUAAUAGUUCCAGGGUUAAUAGAGCAGGGUUAAUAGUUCCAGGGUUAAUAAUUCCAGGGUUAAUAGUUCCAGGGUUAAUAAUCCAGGGUUAAUAGUUCCAGGGUUAAUAGUUCAAGGGUUAAUAAUCCAGGGUUAA
Molecule: long non-coding RNA, 257 nt
Organism: Oncorhynchus tshawytscha (Chinook salmon)
Lineage: Eukaryota; Metazoa; Chordata; Actinopteri; Salmoniformes; Salmonidae
Source: Ensembl